Molecule: ribosomal RNA, 460 nt
Filed under: uncultured bacterium
Lineage: Bacteria
Description: partial 16S ribosomal RNA
Rfam family: Bacterial small subunit ribosomal RNA
Source: RNAcentral
CCUACGGGUGGCAGCAGUGAGGAAUAUUGGUCAAUGGGCGCGAGCCUGAACCAGCCAAGCCGCGUGAAGGAUGAAUGCCCUACGGGUUGUAAACUUCUUUUGUAAAGGAAUAAGCUGAGGCACGAGUGCCUUUUUGUAUGUACUUUACGCAUAAGAGUCGGCUAACUCCGUGCCGGCCGCCGCGGUAAUACGGUGGAUACGAGCGUUAUCCUGAUUUAUUGGGUUUAAAGGGAGCGUAGAGGGGUGGUUAAGUCAGAUGUGAAAGUUUGGGGCUCAACCCUACAAUUGCAAUUGAUACUGGCAGCCUUGAGUACUGUAGAGGGAGGUGGAAUUCGAGGUGUAGCGGUGAAAUGCGUAGAUAUCACGAAGAAUACCGAUUGCGAAGGCAGCUUACUGGACUGACACUGACGUUGAGGCGCGAAAGUGUGGGUAUCAAACAGGAUUAGAUACCCCGGUAGUC